Molecule: non-coding RNA, 561 nt
Organism: Pelobates cultripes (western spadefoot toad)
Lineage: Eukaryota; Metazoa; Chordata; Amphibia; Anura; Pelobatidae
Source: the annotation of a GenBank genome assembly
AGGGUCCUUUCAAAUUACAUAAAAUUUCCAAAGCAUAUUCACCUAUCUGUUGGAGAUGUCAUAAAACGAUUGGUACAAUAUUACAUAUAUGGUACAAUUGUGAGUUAUUAAAUGACACUAUUAUACGUAUUUCUUUUCUGAUAUCAGACUUAACUCCGCUUACUAUAAUACUCUCACCUUCUCUUUUCCAAUUUAACUUAGAUUUCCUGCUAAAAAAAAUACAAAUAUCUUAUUACACAGAUUCUGUAUGCCUUCUAUUGCCCGUAAAUGGAAAUCUAACCAUCCUCCAACGUGGCAAGAGAUUUUAAACCAAAUAGAAUACCAAUACUUAAUGGAAUGCAAUUUUGUUUCUUCCUCUGGCAAAUUCAUCUCAUAUCAUGAUCAUGGCUUUCUUGGCUGAUAUAUACAAACAAAAUUCAAUUAGAUUGAGCUUAAGAAUGGAAUAGAGGGUCUAGUUAAUUGGGCCACUUUCACUGACCCCACAGGCCUAAUAAGUGAUCUCUUGGAUAUAUAUAACCUCUCUAUUUCAUCGAUCGAGCCCCAGUGGAUGUAGUCCUUUUU